Pangasianodon hypophthalmus (striped catfish) is the source of this 620-nucleotide long non-coding RNA. RefSeq lists it as uncharacterized. The record is from RefSeq and is a predicted model, not a curated record. The transcript is spliced from 3 exons. NCBI's taxonomy places the organism in Eukaryota, Metazoa, Chordata, Actinopteri, Siluriformes, Pangasiidae.
GGACUCAUGCUGUCUAGAUGGCUGGGUGAAAUUUGAAGGACGUUGCUUCAAGUAUCAGGCCACCAGCAUGGACUGGGCUUCUGCUGAGAAAUACUGUCUGAAUCUCGGGGCAAACUUGAUCUCAAUACACAGCGAAGGUGAAUAUCAGUGGUUCAAGUCCUUUGUCCUUGCUGCAGACCCCAAGAACAAUCCAACAUGGAUCGGCCUUAAUAACUGUCAGAAGAACAACCACUGGUUGACCAACCACUGACCAAAUUGAUUUUCACCAAGUGGAGUCCAACUCAACCCAAUUUUGUAGGUACAGAGUGCUGUGUGGUAAGUGAAAACUUCUUACAUAGCUGUGUUAAGAAUCUAUCUUUUAUAACUUCAGGGUUUGGUGAUUCAUUUUCAAUUAAAAUGUUAUGGCAUGUUUAAAUCCAUAUUCUUUGCUGUGUCUGCAGAUGAGAAGGACUGGCUUGAUGCUCCAUGUGAGUGGACCUAUCCCUUUGUUUGUGUCAAGAGGCCUAACUGAAAUGCUCCCAGCCUCAACUUGGCAACUAUAAUACAAUGUUGGAUUUUUCUUCCUUGUCACUGAUGGAUUUACAAAAACCUCACUGUGGCAAGUUACCAUAAUUUCAGCA